This 1724-nucleotide long non-coding RNA is filed under the name Podarcis lilfordi (Lilford's wall lizard). The record is from RNAcentral. Lineage: Eukaryota; Metazoa; Chordata; Lepidosauria; Squamata; Lacertidae.
AAAACAUUGGCGAUUAGAACCAAAGGUUGUAGCGACCCUUCAGAAUGCUAUAGACUAUUUCCCUCUGUAAGGAUAUGUUAUUAAAAGAUGCAGUGGGACAGGGCUGUUUUUUUCUUCUUGAAAUGAGGGGUUUUUUGUUGUUGCAGAAAGCAGCAGGCAAAUAGCACCCUAACUGAGCCAGUGUAAAGUCAGGAUUUCACUUCUUGCUCCUAUACCUGCGAUCAUCAAGUUUUGCAUACAGUGGUGCCUCGGUCCGCUAACCCAGAAAUAUUACCUCAGGUUAAGAACUUUGCUUCAGGAUGAGAAGAGAAAUUGUGUGGCGGCAGCGGGAGGCCCCCAUUAGCUAAAGUGGCACCUCAGGUUAAGAAGAGUUUCAGGUUAAGAACAGACCUCCAGAACGAAUUAUGUUCUUAACCCGAGGUACCACUGUACAGUGGAUGCUCGGGUUGCGAAUGUGAUCCGUGUGAGAGGCAAGUUCGCAACCCGCAGCGCCGCGUCUGCGCGAGUCUUGAUUCAGCUCUUCUGCGCAUGCGCAAAGCAUGAUUUAGCGCUUCUGCGCAUGCGUGAGCGCUGAAACCCGGAAGUAACCCGGGUAAUACCCGGAAGUAAUUCCUGGUUUGGCGCGGUGCGCAACCUGAAAACACGCAACCUGAAGCGUCUGUAACCCGAGGUAUGACUGUAUUAUGUACAUUGUUAUAUCGUUGAAUUGCAACCAGUAUUUUCAUGAUGGUUUUUAAUUGGGGGAAGCCAGUAAAGGGGCCAUGUUUUGCUUUAAAAGAUGAGUUUUUAAAAAACACGUCGGUUAAUUUCUCUCUCUGUUCCCAACCUGGUGCUCUCCAGAUGUUUAGGAUUGCAAAACACGACGACAGCAGCUCUUACUUGAGAGUAAGAUAUAUAUCUUUAUACAGGCUUCACAGGCUCUGUGAGAAGCACAAGAUGUCAUGAUUCCAAGUUACAUGACAAUGCAAGAGGUUCUGAUCCAAACGGAAGCUACAAAGCUGUCCCAACGGUUGACACAAAGUUUUACAGACAUGGGGAAAGCUCAGUCAUGAGACUCUCUCACCCUAUAGGACUGCUGCACAUGCAUCUAGGCAGAUGCUUCCGAUCCCACCGAUGGAGGUGAUGCCUGGUUCUUGACCACAGUAUUGUGCUCUGCAGGAGGGCCAGUGGAGCAAGUUGGCAGAUCUGAUUCCCCCUCCCCAAUAUCUAGAAUCCCAAGGGGAGGACCACCAUCCCUGGGUCCCAGCCUGCCAGACGCCCCCUGCUCCUGCUCCUUGCUCCUCUUCCAUCUGGGUCAAAACAUGCGAGAUCCUGAUGGAACCAAGGUGUCUGUGGUAGAAAACAUUCCUUGAUCUGUUUCUCCUGUGCGUUUUUCAGACGGUGUUCCUGUGUUCCUUGGAAGCUUAUCAGAGGAUCCCCACUUAGAAAAAGCAGUAAUCCGGAUGCAAUUAACGGACUAGGCAGAAUUAGAUAAAUUAACAGGAAGGAUUCGAAACCUGCGGGAGCAGAGAUUCUUAGAAGAUUGGAGUAAAUAUACAAACUAUCUGAAAAGUAAUUGUAAUGAACAGAUUACGCUAGUAGGACUGCAAGAAGUUUUGUAAGGAGGACUAUUUGAAAUAUUGCAAGAAAGACUAUAAGAAGAACUAUUGGUUAAUGAUAAUUAAGAGUAAUAGAGAAAUUAAGAAAUGCAGAAUAAGUGAUAAAGAACGAAAAAUCAUCAGAGG